Molecule: ribosomal RNA, 433 nt
Filed under: uncultured bacterium
Lineage: Bacteria
Description: partial 16S ribosomal RNA
Rfam family: Bacterial small subunit ribosomal RNA
Source: RNAcentral
AACGAACGCUGGCGGCAUGCCUAACACAUGCAAGUCGAACGAGACCUUCGGGUCUAGUGGCGCACGGGUGCGUAACGCGUGGGAACCUGCCCUUAGGUUCGGAAUAACUCCCCGAAAGGGGUGCUAAUACCGGAUAAUGUCUUCGGACCAAAGAUUUAUCGCCUUUGGAUGGGCCCGCGUUGGGUUAGCUAGUUGGUAGGGUAAAAGCCUACCAAGGCGACGAUCCAUAGCUGGUCUGAGAGGAUGAUCAGCCACACUGGGACUGAGACACGGCCCAGACUCCUACGGGAGGCAGCAGUGGGGAAUAUUGGACAAUGGGCGAAAGCCUGAUCCAGCAAUGCCGCGUGAGUGAUGAAGGCCUUAGGGUUGUAAAGCUCUUUUACCCGCGAUGAUAAUGACAGUACCGGGAGAAUAAGCUCCGGCUAACUCCGUG